RNAcentral lists this long non-coding RNA (3257 nucleotides) under Apis mellifera (honey bee). Its description in RNAcentral is "uncharacterized LOC100576423, transcript variant X1". The record is from RNAcentral. Lineage: Eukaryota; Metazoa; Arthropoda; Insecta; Hymenoptera; Apidae.
AAAGAAACGAACUAAUCAUUAAAUAUUUAUUUUAAAAUUAUUAUUUUAAAUAAGUUUCAAUAACAUGCAACCGGUAGAGGGCUUUUUUCUCAGCGGAAUCUUUAUGUGGUCAUUAGUGUUCUCGUUUUCAAGCCUCGUGUUUCGUAUCCGAGUAAAAGUGAGUCCUAAAUAAACGACAUGCAUGACCAUAAAUAUACUUCCCAUGUCGACAAAAAACUCAUGUCAUUUAGUGAAUUGCCCGUGUCUAUUAUAAAAUUAAAAGAAAUAGAUAGGAUAAAAUGUUUCAUGUAUGAUAAUCGCUAUUAUUUUUAUUUCUAACCUCCUUCGUACCCUACUAACCGCGCGUCAUUCUAUUUAAGUCAAGGAAGUGAUGAAUAACGUGCGAGUUUGACAUAAUUUUCUCAACGAGUGGGUCGAAUAUCAAGGUGUAAAUCCUAAUCUAAUGUAUGUGUUGUAUCUAAUGUAUUUGCUGCCUGAAAAUGUCCGAAAUUCUAAGCACGACCGUUAACCUAACGUUUAACUGUAUAAUUAUGGCGCAACUUGUCCGAAAAGAUUCUCUUUCUCUUCCCCUUCGUCGCUUCGUCAUUUUAUGAAUUAUGUACUAUGCGUACAGAUUUGACAUCCAGCUGUAAUGUCAUGAUCCUUCUUAUCUGCCAGGGGAUAAUAGUAAGUCUCGUUAAUGAGAGUUAUUAGCAAAUAAUACGAGGAUUCAUGAGCGUUUCUUUUAUGAAUACAAUAUCUACGUAAAUAGUUCUUUAACGAAGAAUGAAAUAAUGAUUAAAACGAAUGUUCUCGUUUAUUCUAUCUUUUUAUUAUUCUAUUCUUUUUUCAAAUUUAUAAUCCUUGAUAAAUCCUUGCAAAAUUGCAAGGCGUCGAAGGACUCGCUCGCUGUUUCGCUUCAGUUCAUGAUCGAGAAAAAUGAUCGUAUUUAUAUAAAUCAGCAAUUUGAUUAAUUUAAAGCGGUAAGCAGUGUGUCGAAUGUAUUCCAAUGAUAUUGUUUAUUUUUUACGCAGUAUAUUUGCAAAGUGGUAACGGUGGCAUAGCUACAAUGUAAUUAUAAAAUGUUGCAAUGGCAACCGGUGCAACGAACUCACGAAUAAAUUCUCGAUGCUAUUGAGAAACGCUUAUGAUCUAAAGAAUGGUUUCAUUGAAAUUACAUAUAAUGAAUGAUACACACGUAAUGUAAUAAUUUUUCUUAAAUUAAAAAAUUUUUCAAUGAAACACUCGAUUACGAAUGAAAAUGAGUUAAAGAAACAAUGUAACGAGUCGUGAUGAGUUUUCACGACAUCUGGCCAUGGCGCAACGUAAGUUGGAUGGAAAUAGUAUUAUGUAAAAUCCGAGCAAAAAUUUCAACCACAUAGAAAAACUUUUGUUAAGAACCUCGAGGAUACCUACUUACCUACAGUACCGAGGAAUUGGACACCGACUUUGCCGAUUAGUCAAACUAUCGAUCGUUCUCAAAUUGUCGCUUCUCUUUUUUUGAUUCGUAGCUCGAAUUUAUCGGUUUAUAAUAUGAUGGCAAGUAUUUAUUUAUUUAUUUAAGCAUUGUCAAUUCUGAUUUGUAGAAAUCCGACAUAAGUCAAACUCAACUAAAUAUUUCUUUCUUUCGUAUUACCGACUCGUUCAAGAAUGAUGAUCAAAGAUAGGAAGCGUGGAAGCGAGUAAGAACAGCGGCUUAAAUCAUUAGCAACAAUAUAACGAUCGAUCAAGAGAGCUGACGUACGUACAAGCUGAAAAGAAGCCAGCGGCAAGUUGCAAUAGGGCCAAUUUCUCUUUAUCAAUGAUCGCCCUGUGGUUUUCUCCGUGGUCAUAGCAUAGUAUGUGUACAUGUAACACAUGGGACACGUUAUAUACUAGCCAAACGCAUAAACUGUUGCUGCGUGCGCGUACAAGUUCAAGAACAAUGGCAGUUCACGAUCUGUAUAAUGUAUGUAGUGGGUAUACACGAUUUUGCCAUGCGACGGUACUGGCUCAUUGUGGUGGCGGCGGCGGUGGCAGCGGGCAGCUCUCGUGCCACUGACCCACAAACAUACUUACCUAUGUUAUACUAUGCUGCUAUAUACAUCGUUCUGCCGUUGUCGCUAUGCUUUAAUGCCCGUACACACCGCGUUUCCGCCUCUCGAAACACGCUUGUGUACGUCGUCCUUGGAAGAUUUACUUGCGGACCUGAUUGCAAUCCUGAUGCUGGCUCGUGAAUUUUUCAUUCGAGACUUCAUGCACCACCGUGAACCGAAAGUAACCGCGUGUUCGAGCAACGAGGGCGGUAAUUUUACGGAUAGAAAGAAUUGGAUUUCCGUUGGAAAAGAGUAUCGUAUCAUGGCUCGAUGUGUUUUACUUACGGUUUCAUUUUACUUUGGCGCUUAUUAAAAAGUUGCGUUCUGGAAUGGUCGCUCUACGAUGAAGAUUAGAUCCUGCGUACAUUAAAAUUCUCAACGUUCGUGUAUCCGCGUUAUGCAUAUUGAUAUUACUUCACUCCUGACUUUGUGCGUUUCCAAUAAUUAUAUUAUACAUGAAUUUUAAAAAAAAGAAAACGGAAACCUAAAUUUUCAUAGGAAUGUACAAAAAUAACAGAUUAAUAUUUCAAAUUAGAAAAAUAUUUAAAAACUAUAUAACUCUUUAUUAUAGUAAAAAGUUAAAUGAUAUUCAAUAAUUAUAAAGAGGUUAUAUUAAAUUACAGGACAAAACUGGAAGAGCAAGGCUGAAAUCCUGCACGGAGUGGCGGAGAGCGGUGGACGAAAAAAGAGUUGAGUAGUCGAUUCGCUCGACUUUUUGCCAUCAUCGUCAUGAGGGGAAUCGUCACGAUGGAAGGAGAAAAUGGACAACCAUGGCUGCGUUGCAAAAUCGAAUGAGCAACUUCACUCCUGACUUUGUGCUCCAAUUGACCUGGCCAUUUGAGAGAACAAAAGCCUUUGAUGGAUCACGGGGCCCGGUAUAAUCGCACAUGACAUUGCGAAGAAGUGGAAGAAGAGAAAAAAGGGAGACAUAUUGUUGUUAUUAAAUUUUUAAAUACGCAGAUAGUAGCCAUUGGACUGUAAUAAUGUAUCUAUUAGUCAUGUAUAAUCAUAUUAUAUAUGAAUUUUUAAAAAAAGAAAACGCGCUUAAAUUUUCAUAGAAGUGUAUAAAAAUAUCAGAUUAAUAUUUCAAAUUGGAAAAAUGUUUAAAAAUUAUAUAACUCUUUAUUGUAGUAAAAAGUUAAAUGAUAUUCAAACAAUUUGUUAUAAAGAAAAGAAUUUAUAUAUCAAAUUAUAGGUGAGUCC